GCCAGCGUGGUGCAGUGGUUUGGGUGUUGGAUUUAGACUCUGGAGACUAGGGUUCAAAUCUCUGCUCAGCCA
Phrynosoma platyrhinos (Desert horned lizard) is the source of this 72-nucleotide non-coding RNA. Lineage: Eukaryota; Metazoa; Chordata; Lepidosauria; Squamata; Phrynosomatidae. The record is from the annotation of a GenBank genome assembly.